CAGCCGCCACGGUAAUACGGAGGGAGCUAGCGUUGUUCGGAAUUACUGGGCGUAAAGCGCGCGUAGGCGGUUACUCAAGUCAGAGGUGAAAGCCCGGGGCUCAACCCCGGAACUGCCUUUGAAACUAGGUGACUAGAAUCUUGGAGAGGUCAGUGGAAUUCCUAGUGUAGAGGUGAAAUUCGUAGAUAUUCGGAAGAACACCAGUGGCGAAGGCGACUGACUGGACAAGUAUUGACGCUGAGGUGCGAAAGCGUGGGGAGCAAACAGGAUUAGAUACCCCGGUAGUCCCUGUCUCUUAUAC
RNAcentral lists this ribosomal RNA (301 nucleotides) under uncultured bacterium. Its description in RNAcentral is "partial 16S ribosomal RNA". It matches the Rfam family "Bacterial small subunit ribosomal RNA", at positions 509 to 807 of the family's 1533-position model. The record is from RNAcentral.